UGGGGAAUAUUGCACAAAUGGGCGCAAGCCUGAUGCAGCAACGCCGCGUGAGGGGCGACGGCCUUCGGGUGUAAACCUCUUUUAGUAGGGAAGAAGCGAAAGUGACGGUACCUGCAGAAAAACGCACCGGCUAACUACGUGCCAGCAGCCGCGGUAAUACGUAGGGUGCGAGCGUUGUCCGGAAUUAUUGGGCGUAAAGAGCUCGUAGGCGGUCUGUCGCGUCUGCUGUGAAAACCCGAGGCUCAACCUCGGGCCUGCAGUGGGUACGGGCAGACUAGAGUGCGGUAGGGGAGAAUGGAAUUCCUGGUGUAGCGGUGGAAUGCGCAGAUAUCAGGAGGAACACCGAUGGCGAAGGCAGUUCGUCUGGGCCGUAAGCUGACGCUGAGGAGCGAAAGCGUGGGGAGCGAACAGGAUUAGAUACCCUGGUAGUCCACGCCGUAAACGUUGGGCGCUAGAUGUGGGGACCAUUCCACGGUUUCCGU
RNAcentral lists this ribosomal RNA (482 nucleotides) under uncultured bacterium. RNAcentral's name for it is "partial 16S ribosomal RNA". It matches the Rfam family "Bacterial small subunit ribosomal RNA", at positions 355 to 844 of the family's 1533-position model. The record is from RNAcentral.